GUGAAUCAUCGAAUCUUUGAACGCAAAUUGCACUCCCUGGUAUUCCGGUGAGUAUGCCUGGUUGAGGGUCGUUAGAAUAAAAAAUCGAGGCGUCUCUCUUUUUUUGAGGGUGAUCGCGUCGGAAUUGAGCCGUCGUUCAUAUGUUAAUUCAUGUCAAAGUGUCUUAAAAUUCAUUCAUCCAGUACGAUUAAAUCUUAUUUAAGAUCA
RNAcentral lists this unclassified non-coding RNA (207 nucleotides) under Funneliformis mosseae. RNAcentral's name for it is "partial contains 5.8S ribosomal RNA and internal transcribed spacer 2". The stretch from base 1 to 71 matches the Rfam family "5.8S ribosomal RNA", at positions 84 to 154 of the family's 154-position model. The record is from RNAcentral. Lineage: Eukaryota; Fungi; Glomeromycota; Glomeromycetes; Glomerales; Glomeraceae.